AUGCAAGUCGAGCGGGGGAAGGUAGCUUGCUACCGGACCUAGCGGCGGACGGGUGAGUAAUGCUUAGGAAUCUGCCUAUUAGUGGGGGACAACAUCUCGAAAGGGAUGCUAAUACCGCAUACGUCCUACGGGAGAAAGCAGGGGAUCUUCGGACCUUGCGCUAAUAGAUGAGCCUAAGUCGGAUUAGCUAGUUGGUGGGGUAAAGGCCUACCAAGGCGACGAUCUGUAGCGGGUCUGAGAGGAUGAUCCGCCACACUGGGACUGAGACACGGCCCAGACUCCUACGGGAGGCAGCAGUGGGGAAUAUUGGACAAUGGGGGGAACCCUGAUCCAGCCAUGCCGCGUGUGUGAAGAAGGCCUUAUGGUUGUAAAGCACUUUAAGCGAGGAGGAGGCUACUUUAGUUAAUACCU
RNAcentral lists this ribosomal RNA (411 nucleotides) under Acinetobacter baumannii Naval-18. RNAcentral's name for it is "bacterial SSU rRNA". It matches the Rfam family "Bacterial small subunit ribosomal RNA", at positions 55 to 475 of the family's 1533-position model. The record is from RNAcentral. Lineage: Bacteria; Pseudomonadati; Pseudomonadota; Gammaproteobacteria; Moraxellales; Moraxellaceae.